RNAcentral lists this ribosomal RNA (181 nucleotides) under uncultured bacterium. Its description in RNAcentral is "partial 16S ribosomal RNA". It matches the Rfam family "Bacterial small subunit ribosomal RNA", at positions 1320 to 1500 of the family's 1533-position model. The record is from RNAcentral.
AUGAAGCCGGAAUUGCUAGUAAUGGCAGGUCAGCAUACUGCCGUGAAUACGUUCCCGGGCCUUGUACACACCGCCCGUCACACCAUGAGGGUUGGGGGAUACCCGAAGCCUGUGAGCUAACUUUUAGAGGCAGCAGUCGAAGGUAGAAUCAAUGAUUGGGGUGAAGUCGUAACAAGGUACC